AGCAGCCGCGGUAAUUCCAGCUCCAAUAGCGUAUAUUAAAGUUGUUGCAGUUAAAAAGCUCGUAGUUGAAUUUCGGGAUCAAUGCGUCGGUCGUGCUUUCGGGUACGUACUGGUGUCAUUGGUUUCUCCUUUCUGACGAGCCGUGAUGUCAUUAAUUUGGUGUUACGGGUAGUUAGGACUGUUACUUUGAAAAAAUUAGAGUGUUUAAAGCAGGCAUUCGCUUGAAUACAUUAGCAUGGAAUAAUGAAAUAGGACGUUCGACCCUAUUUUGUUGGUUUCUAGGAUCAACGUAAUGAUUAAUAGGGAUAGUUGGGGGCAUUAGUAUUCAAUUGUCAGAGGUGAAAUUCUUGGAUUUAUUGAAGACUAACUACUGCGAAAGCAUUUGCCAAGGAUGUUUUCAUUAAUCAAGAACGAAAGUUAGGGGAUCGAAGACGAUCAGAUACCGUCGUAGUCUUAACCAUAAACUAUGCCGACUAGGGAUCGGAUGAUGUUAAUUUUUUAAUGACUCAUUCGGCGCCUUACG
This 523-nucleotide ribosomal RNA is filed under the name uncultured Glomus. Its description in RNAcentral is "SSU rRNA". It matches the Rfam family "Eukaryotic small subunit ribosomal RNA", at positions 569 to 1092 of the family's 1831-position model. Lineage: Eukaryota; Fungi; Glomeromycota; Glomeromycetes; Glomerales; Glomeraceae. The record is from RNAcentral.